UUUAUUUAUAACAGAUAAAUAACUUAGUGAAGUAUAGUUAGGAAUGGCAAAAUCUUUAUUAGAAGUGAAUUACUGUUUCUGAUACCCGUAACAUUAAAGGGUCAAAUAUUGUAUAAAGUUUAACUUCCUCUUUAUAUUUCCACAAAGUUAGAGAACAAGAAUGAUUCUUAAAAAAAAAAAAAAAAAAAAAAAAAAAAAAAAAGGCAACAACCGCGAAGCAAAGUAGAGUAUGCAUUUUUUGAUCAAAAUAAUUUAAAAAGUCAAAAUGAAGGUUUUUUCUCCGGUGGAGGGGAGGGAUAAGGAACGAGAAAGAUGUUUGUCCUCAGGAGGCAUUAUUUGAAACAGACCCAAUAUGAAACACUUUUUGAGGCAUAAUUUAGGUGCUUAUUUGUUAAAAAAAAAAGUUUCUGUUGAAAGCAGUCAACAUUUAACCUUGCACCAAUGCAUAAAGAGCACCUGAUUUCACAACAACAGGACGCAAAUGGAAUAAUUUAGCAUCAGUAAAGAUUGAGUAACUACUCAGUUCUCCUUUGAAGGCUUUGAAAGGCAUGUGAAUUAGCUCUCCACUUCGGUGAGCAUAUAGGAGCAGUGAAGGAUUUAAAAGUCUCCCUAGAGUCUUUAUGAAACAAACACCUAUUAAUCAUGUUCAUCUCUUCUUCCCAUCUCUUUUUUUUUUUCUUCUAAACUACUUGUUUCUCAUCAGUAGUAAAAAGUCAGUUGAAAAAUGUCCAGAUAUCUGAUUUGCAUAAGGGAUAUUUUAUAGGGCAGAGUUGUGUAAAAGUUAAACAAUAACAACACCCAAGCUCAUUAUGUUUGUUACACAUGUAUUUUAUGACCUUACCUAACAUCGAUUGCUAAUGGUCUAGUAGAAUUUGAGUUGAUAACUGUAAUCAGAGUCAAUUUAGAGUCAAAAAAGAAAGUCAUGCUUAAGCAUAGCUUCUUAAAUGUUAUCUUAAAAGAGGAAAGUAAAUACAAAUAAACGUGGGUUUGUGGGCAUAAAAGUUAGGAAAUUCAUGAGGAAUUUUUCUAAAAUAGCUGUCAAGUUAUCCUCCUGCACAUAGGCAAGUCCUUUCUCAUACAAAUCACUUGUCCUCUUCUGCCUAAAUAUAUUUAUGUCUUAGGCCCAAGGGAUGGGCACAUUUCCAGCUCAUACAAAAAUUUUAACCAUAUUGUUUUCUGAUACUAGAAAAACUGAAUUGUGCUCCUGAAGCUAAUUUAUGUCAACUCCCUUUGAAGGAGGCACAGAAUUAAGUAUUUGUUUAAAUGUAGAUAGUACAUGUGUAUCUUUGACAAGUAUGCCAUUAAGAUACAUUGAAGCAUAAUCAUUAAAAGGUGUGAUUACACAGAUAGAGACUCUGGCAGCAACAAAAUCAAUGUAUUCUGUAUUAUUAGAAAAACUAUGGAGGAACACAUUUUGAAAGUGUGUAAAAAAAAACCUUAAAAUUUUUGCUUUGAUCCCUGAAACCAGUAUUGGAACUUUCACUAGAUGUUUAAAAACUCUGCAGCCUUAAAGCCAAUAGACUAGAUUUGCCCUGAAAGAACCUUUUGAAAUAACAGUUAUGUGCAGCUGAAUAUAAUAAAAUAGAUGUUGAAAGAUCUUCAUGUUUAUAAUGUAUUUUUCCUUUUAAUAUGAAAAUAUUAAGAUAGAUAAUGCUGAUAAACUUGUCUUUUUAUUUUUGAGGAUCUACAAAUUAUUCAAAGAAUUGGAAAGUAUCAUUUUAAACAAUGUUUUAGUGUGUUUUAAAAUACACUGUAUCCUUUGAGCUGGUUACUUUUUUAAAAAAUUAGAAACCAGUUUAAUAUUGACCUCUGCACUGUGAAUACAAUUUAAAUGGGCUGGGGCAUUUACAGAUUUAUGUGGUCAGCUUUUCCCAAAGGCCUGCCUCAUUGGUACAUUUGUUAGUUGCUAACAAACAAACAAAAAAAUUCUAGUACUUAUUUUUUAGAUUGUAUAAGUACUUUUGCUUUUGUGCAGAGAAAGCUGAAGGAAAGUUUUCCUUUAGAUUGAAGAGUUCCUUGAACAUGCAUUGGGAGAAAGGGGGAAAAAAUACAGUUAAAUGCCCAUGCAUCCAGAAGUUUUUACUGGUAUACGUAUUGUGUUCUAGUGGGGUUCUAUUUUAUCCCUGCUCAUGGAAUACAUGCUCGUUUUCCAGAGAGAAGUUUAAAACCCUUAAAUAUUACCUAUACAUAAGAAACCAUCUUCUCUCUGUCCUCUCAUAUGGAUUCUUUGAUGGGUUAGGAUCUUAAAGCCUUGAGAUAAAUAUUAAUGAAAAUAGAAUGUAUCAUUUUAAAGCUAUUUUAACCACAGAUGGACAGUUGGGAGCUUAACUGAGUUACAUAUGGCAUUUGAAAGUAUAGGUCAAAAUUAUUUCUGUGAAUUUAUUCUCUUAUUAAAUAUCUUAGUAAGGCAUAGAUUGGGGCUUGGAAUUUAAAUGGUCAAGUUUUUACACAUUUAUGACCACAGAGUUUGGUGAAUUCAAACUGAAUCUUACAUGUUGUCAAAAGACCACAUUGAACAUUCAGAGGGGAUAACAGAGUUUUAAUUUUCAAAUUAAGCAUUUGGUCUAAUCCCUAAUAAUUUAUAAAUGGUCAUUGCUACAAUAAUUAAUAUAGGCAAAUACAUCCUUUUCCCUUCCUUACGUCAUAAAUUCUAUCUUGUAUGUGAGGAUUUUUAGAUAAAACUUACAUUCAUUUCAAUGGAGUUAGUGUCUUAGUAUGUGAGGAAAAGUGAAAUGCAAGUCACAUUAAAGAGCUUGGAGCAAUAGGAUUGAAAAUCAAUGAUACAAUGUUCUCUAAAAUACAAAAUUCAUGCUUAUGGUUUUGCACAAGUGUUUUGAAUUUUUCCCCCAAAACUUUGAUUCAAAACAUUUAGACUAAUUAGUACAAUGCCUAUUUAAGUAAUAGUUUCAACAUUAAGUACCAUUUUAAAAAUUUCAUUUUUCAGACAGUUGCAUCAAGGAAAUGCCAAAUAUAAAAAUUCAACAUGAUGUAACAAUAAACAAAAUUAAAUAUUUCAAAUCUAAAUGGUCAGGUUAAAUUUUCACACUACUAAGAAGCUGAGUUUCUUAAAAAGGUAAAUUUCAAAGCAUUUCCUUUGAAAUUAAGAAAGUAUAAUUUUGUUCAACUUUGCAAAUAGGAAAUUCUAUAUUCAAAAUAUUGUUUAAAAAAGAAUAUUCUUGAAUUUCUGAAGUGAGAUUUGGGGGUUGACUUUGUUAGCUACUUGAAUUAGAAUGAGAAAACUUUGUAACAUUAAAGGAAUGUACAUAAGAAUCAAAUGAUAUUUUUUAAUAUCAAAUCUUUGUAUCUAACCAGUCUAUGGGUUUAAAAGGAUUUUCUGCAUAUUGGAAAAGUCAUGUCUGCCCUUUAGGGUUUCCUUUAGGAAGUUUGAUCCUUUAUUUUGAAGCCAAGCAACUAAAUAAGGAAAAUAAUCAUAGUCCACAAUACAUUUAAUGAGAAAAGAGCAGGUUGAAUUAUGUAUCUUGGAAUUUCUCAACAUAGAGAAAGAAAAACUAAUUAUUUACCUUUACAUUCAGUAAGUGAUUGAAGUGAUUACAAUGUAUUUGCCUUUUGUAUGGAUUACAGAAAGCAAGUUCACUUCUUAAGUCACAUAACUUAUAUUUACUUUUCCAGUGAUGUAAUAUGAAAAUUAGGAGCUGGCCAAUCAUCCAAUAAAUUCUGUCAAGUAGACAAUUUAGAUAAUAAACACAGUUUCCCCUUCAACAGCAGACUGGUUUUAUUCUUUACAUUAAUUGUAAAGAUCACCACUUUGAUUUGGUAUUAGCCAGAAUGACCCAUGGCUUAGUUAGAAGAUAAUGACAGUGACGCAUGGACACGUUGAAAUAAGUUUACUUUGAUGAAUGUAUCUCAUUAAUCCUUCCAUAUACAUAUGGACUAUCCUUUAAAUUGUUAGUCUAUUUUUAAAGAAAGAGAGAUUGAAUAUUUUUUAAAAGAAAGAAGGAAGGAAGAAAGGAAGAAAGAGAGUGAGGAAAAGUUUUAUCUUUGAGGAAAGAAAUAGCACAGAAAGCUAUUUACAGAAAGCUAUGUUACUCUCUAACAUAGUCCAUUACAGCAAGAUUCUCUUAGCCACACUGAGUUCAACUAAGCCUCACAUUCAUGCUCAAAAUGGACCAGAAGAUCAUCUGCUCUGUCCAGAACCUAACCAGUUUUAAGAUGGCUUAUAUUUAGACUACAACAAUAAAAAAUAUCUAACAGAUUUCUUUCCUUUUUGGUUCUGGUUUUGCAAUCUCUGUUCUAACACUGUAUUUUCUCAUACCUCAGAAAUUGAAGUUUUGACCAGGUCCAUGAAUUUUAGC
Molecule: long non-coding RNA, 4313 nt
Filed under: Sus scrofa (pig)
Lineage: Eukaryota; Metazoa; Chordata; Mammalia; Artiodactyla; Suidae
Description: lncRNA (ENSSSCG00000060657.1)
Source: RNAcentral